GAGAAGAUAUCACGGGCGCGCGGCGGAUGCCUUGGCACAGGAAGCCGAUGAAGGACGCGGCAAGCUGCGAUAAUCCGCGGUUAGGGGCACACACCCUUCGACCCGCGGGUCUCCGAAUGGGCGAACCCGCCGGAAGAGGUUCCGGCAUCCCGGGGGCGAAUCCAUAGCCCCCGGGAGGACAACCCGGGGAACUGAAACAUCUAAGUACCCGGAGGAGGAGAAAUCAACUGCGAGAUCCCCCGAGUAGCGGCGAGCGGAAGGGGGCCAUGGCCAAACCGGCGGGCGCAUGCGCGCGGCAGCGUUCGCGCCGCCGGGGUUGUAGGGCCGCGACGCCCGGGGGCUGCCGCCCCCGGCGCGCACCGAUCCAGGGGAGCCGAACGGCAUGGGACGGCCGGCGGCACAGGGU
Molecule: ribosomal RNA, 406 nt
Filed under: Bifidobacterium pullorum subsp. saeculare
Lineage: Bacteria; Bacillati; Actinomycetota; Actinomycetes; Bifidobacteriales; Bifidobacteriaceae
Description: partial 23S ribosomal RNA
Rfam family: Bacterial large subunit ribosomal RNA
Source: RNAcentral